GUGGGGAAUAUUGGACAAUGGGCCACAAGCCUGAUCCAGCAAUUCUGUGUGCACGAUGAAGGUCUUCGGAUUGUAAAGUGCUUUCAGUUGGGAAGAAGAAAGUGACGGUACCAACAGAAGAAGCGACGGCUAAAUACGUGCCAGCAGCCGCGGUAAUACGUAUGUCGCAAGCGUUAUCCGGAUUUAUUGGGCGUAAAGCGCGUCUAGGCGGAAAAAUAAGUCUGAUGUUAAAAUGCGGGGCUCAACUCCGUAUUGCGUUGGAAACUGUUUUUCUAGAGUACUGGAGAGGUGGGCGGAACUACAAGUGUAGAGGUGAAAUUCGUAGAUAUUUGUAGGAAUGCCGAUGGAGAAGUCAGCUCACUGGACAGAUACUGACGCUGAAGCGCGAAAGCGUGGGGAGCAAACAGGAUUAGAUACCCUUGUAGUCC
Molecule: ribosomal RNA, 428 nt
Filed under: uncultured bacterium
Lineage: Bacteria
Description: bacterial SSU rRNA
Rfam family: Bacterial small subunit ribosomal RNA
Source: RNAcentral